AUUGAACGCUGGCGGCAGGCCUAACACAUGCAAGUCGAGCGGAUGAAGGGAGCUUGCUCCUGGAUUCAGCGGCGGACGGGUGAGUAAUGCCUAGGAAUCUGCCUGGUAGUGGGGGAUAACGUCCGGAAACGGGCGCUAAUACCGCAUACGUCCUGAGGGAGAAAGUGGGGGAUCUUCGGACCUCACGCUAUCAGAUGAGCCUAGGUCGGAUUAGCUAGUUGGUGGGGUAAAGGCCUACCAAGGCGACGAUCCGUAACUGGUCUGAGAGGAUGAUCAGUCACAGUGGAACUGAGACACGGUCCAGACUCCUACGGGAGGCAGCAGUGGGGAAUAUUGGACAAUGGGCGAAAGCCUGAUCCAGCCAUGCCGCGUGUGUGAAGAAGGUCUUCGGAUUGUAAAGCACUUUAAGUUGGGAGGAAGGGCAGUAAGUUAAUACCUUGCUGUUUGGACGUUACCAACAGAAUAAGCACCGGCUAACUUCGU
This 483-nucleotide ribosomal RNA is filed under the name uncultured bacterium. RNAcentral describes it as "partial 16S ribosomal RNA". It matches the Rfam family "Bacterial small subunit ribosomal RNA", at positions 30 to 506 of the family's 1533-position model. The record is from RNAcentral.